Potamilus streckersoni is the source of this 74-nucleotide non-coding RNA. NCBI's taxonomy places the organism in Eukaryota, Metazoa, Mollusca, Bivalvia, Unionida, Unionidae. The record is from the annotation of a GenBank genome assembly.
UGCUCUGGUGGCCUAGUGGUUAGAGUGUCCGCCUUGGAUGCAGGAGGUCAUGGGUUCGAUCCCUGGUCGAGUCA